RNAcentral lists this long non-coding RNA (1039 nucleotides) under Anas platyrhynchos platyrhynchos (common mallard). RNAcentral describes it as "lncRNA (ENSAPLG00000022282.1)". The record is from RNAcentral. Lineage: Eukaryota; Metazoa; Chordata; Aves; Anseriformes; Anatidae.
AAUGUUUUUUGGUUUGUUUCCUACACACAAAAGGGUGUAUGAAGGCAUGAUUUAUGUCCUUUCAAUCAUCUGUAGAGCUUGUGUUUCUGAAGACCAGACCAGAAGGCCAGAAGACCACUUAGUAUGAUGAAUCUAUGCACUCUUAUUUCAGGCUCCCUCUCCAGGGGACAGAGGAAGAAGCAUCUCAGGAACACAGCUUGUCUUCUUCACUGCCUGUUCGGGUGUGGGAAGGGUCUCUCUCCACUGACUCAGGAGACCGGGCAAUAAUCCUUUUGCAACCUCAUGGGCUGUCAGUCACCUGAACUCAGCUGGCUUCACUUUUUCCUUCCAUUCAGUUCAAUUGUAUGACACUGAUUAUUUAGAUGAGUGUUUUCUGAAGAUUGUUCAUUUUUUGUGGUCUCAUACACAUAAGAUUUCUAAUGGAUUCUGGAAAAGCACAGUCUCAUCUCCAUGCCUUUAACUGACUAAACAUGCUACUGGCUUCAGUGCCAGUUUAGCCACUUCCUCCAGACAAGAAUGAAACUGUAAAAAGGUUUCUAAGUCAGAAUUGCCUAAACAUUUAUUCCUGGCCUCACUGAACUAAAACCGCUGUACAAGAGGGCAUUGUGCCCCUGUGUGCUCCCACGCAGCAGUCAGAGCAGAUUAUCUGCAGUCUAUAGCCCACCAAAUCCAUUGUCAGUAAUGUGGAAGAAACAUUCCCACUUCGCUGAUGAGAAAAAAGCCUCUAGUCUGGUGCACAAGAGAAGGGUUAUUAUCUUUCCAGAUGCAUCUCAACCUCACAUGUGUCAGUGGGAAGUAAGUGCACAGAUGGAGGAAGUGAACUGCAGUGGUUGCUGAAUGCAGUGGGAUGUUCAGUGCAAAGGUCUCAGCAUCAGUUUUUCUCCCACUUCUGUGGCACUGUUUUGUAACUUCAGAGUAAUUCCUCUGUCAUUAGAGUGGUUUUUUUUAGGUUGUGUCCAGGGGCUAAAUGAAGGAUAUAUAUAAAGAACAAGCCAUUUCUCAGAGAAAAAAAAUUUUACCUGGAGGUCCCUCGGGAAAG